UACGAAGGGGGCUAGCGUUGCUCGGAAUUACUGGGCGUAAAGCGCACGUAGGCGGCUUUCUAAGUCGGGGGUGAAAUCCUGGAGCUCAACUCCAGAACUGCCUUCGAUACUGGAGAGCUCGAGUCCGGGAGAGGUGAGUGGAACUGCGAGUGUAGAGGUGAAAUUCGUAGAUAUUCGCAAGAACACCAGUGGCGAAGGCGGCUCACUGGCCCGGUACUGACGCUGAGGUGCGAAAGCGUGGGGAGCAAACGGG
Molecule: ribosomal RNA, 253 nt
Filed under: uncultured bacterium
Lineage: Bacteria
Description: partial 16S ribosomal RNA
Rfam family: Bacterial small subunit ribosomal RNA
Source: RNAcentral